This 917-nucleotide long non-coding RNA is filed under the name Homo sapiens (human). Its description in RNAcentral is "non-protein coding lnc-SOX17-4:2". Lineage: Eukaryota; Metazoa; Chordata; Mammalia; Primates; Hominidae. The record is from RNAcentral.
CAGCUUCAAAGGGAUUUGAAGGGUGGUGACAGGCUCCAGCCCAGACUGCGCCUCGGAAUGCAGACGCUUCUCUGCCUAGAACCUGGCCCGGCCCUAUGGGAAAGCCCCGGUUCUCGGCGGCACUGAACUGGUUCAUAUUCUAAAGAGAGCAGGCACUGAGCAAAUGUUUGUUGAACUGAACCAAUCUGCUAGUUAUGGGGACAUGACCUCCACUUCAUGGUGUUGAACUAAACAAACACAUACUUCUCCAGACAAAUAUUAAAACUGGUGAACUUCAAAAUAACGUGAAAAGCUCCUAUGUUUCCAUGCCUCAUUAUAUGCCACAAAAAAUCAAAUGAUAACGAGAACAAAUUCCUAGGUCCAGCACAAUUAGAGGAGGGUUCACUCGUAGGCAGCAUCUGAGCAACAGGCUCACCAGACUUCAGCCUCUUCACUCCGACUCUUCCACGCUCCAGCUCUCUUCAUUAAGAUAUUCUAGAAGCAACUGAGGAGUUUCUACAAACAUUUUGGAAAUUACAGCAGGUCAAGUGGAAGUUUGUUUUCAUUUCAGUUAAGGUACGAGUUGUUCUGACUGCUGUGCAGACAUUCACACGCCCGCUGCUAGAAAGCUGGAGCUGGAAGGAGCAUUGGGGCCCGCUGAGUCCUCCUUUCUCAUGUAUGGAUGCGGAUGUGGAGGCAGGCCCUAAGUCUUAGUGUAGGUGCCGAUGGUGCAGGUUGACUCACUUAAAGAAGAAUUUGAAUCAUUAUCUAACAGAAAAAGAUCAAUAACAAGCAUUAUUGCUGGAACAUUCUAUGGAUAGACUGCUUUCUAUACAUGAUUGGUGAAUAUUGUAUUUCAAUUAAUUAUAUAUCCUGAUAAUAUAUGAAUUAAUACUGUGAUAUCCUGCAUACAAUAACAAUAAUCAAUGGAAAUAUAG